This 2996-nucleotide long non-coding RNA is filed under the name Brassica rapa (field mustard). RNAcentral's name for it is "long non-coding RNA (BRAP_LNC005320)". The record is from RNAcentral. Lineage: Eukaryota; Viridiplantae; Streptophyta; Magnoliopsida; Brassicales; Brassicaceae.
CCAAAUUGAACAUUUAAUAAUCAAAUGCAUGUUGAUCCUGUUUAUCCAGAGCGGCGACUUAGAGGACAAGAUAAGCAAAGGUUAAUUUCAAGCACCAUAAUGUAUUCACUUCUUAAGCUUCCUUCGCAUUUCGAUUUGCAAACUUCUGGUCAUGCUAUCUUCACUCUUCUACGGUUUUAUUACAUGAUUUAUACUGAUUAACAAAAUUUCAUGGCCUCAGUCAACAUUCUUAAUCGGCUCCCGAAAACACCAAAUUUUAAACAUGAUAUAUUAAAAUAGCAAAUAUUACAUCCAUAAACUGACUUAUUAAAAUUAAACACCAGUAAAUAAAGUUGCAAUAUUAUACAGAUGCAUAUAUAUAACAUGCUACAUAUAAGGCAUAUAUCCGUCAUAUGCAACGGUUUAUUGUGCAGUUAAUAGAAUACUAAGUGGGAAAUAUUUAAUAGCUCCACAUACUCAUUUUUUUUUCAUUUCUUAUUAAGCUGACGCUGGUUCUUGAAGUGAUCUCUCGGGUUGGCUUCGAAAGGUGCCCUAGGAAUAAUCAAACCAUUCCCACCAGGAGCCUUCAUCAUCUUCUCUUUCGGGCCGUUCUCAUCUGAGCCUGAGGUCAUCCACGAGAAUAGACUAACGGCCGCUCCAAUGGCUCCAACCACGCCUAUGACUUUGGUCGCGGUAUCGUAAAAUGUCGAACUCUCAUCUUUGUCAUCUUUUCUCUCGGUGCUGUUCAUAUUGAUAUGGUCUCUAUAUGAGUGUUUUGAUUUGUUGAGUUUAAAGAGGGGACUCAGGAGUGAGUUAUAUAGAGUGGCAAGCUAGUGUACCUUGCCCCUCAGGAGUAAUGAAGACUUUAAUUACAUAGUAAAGGGAGGUUUAAACAUUUCUACUAUUAUUAUUUAAAAAAUGAAUGAAUUAUUUUACAUUAUUGUACUACUAGGUUAAAGCCACUUUCUUGCUAUCGGUCAGAGGAAUCUUUAGUACAAGAAAAGCUUUUUGUUUGUCUAAUGGUUAGAAUGAAGAUGCUUUCGUACGUGCAUCAUGUUUGGAUAAAUUUUUCAAUGGAUUGCAAAUUUGAAUUAUUACUAAAGUGACAACAACUUUGAAUCAUUGAAUGCAAAUUUCAGUCGCUAAAAUUAAAACCACAAAUGGAUUUAAUAAUUUCAGUGUACCUUCCCCCUCCGGAGUAAUAAAGACUUCAGUUAAUUACAUACUAAAGUCUCUAUAUUUAUCUUUUGAUCAGAAAAAGUCUCUGUAUUUAGCUAAAGGGAGGUUUAAACAUUUCUAUUAUUAUUAUUUCAGAAUUAAUGAAUUAUUUUACAUUGUACUAUGCUAGGUUAAAGCCACUUUCUUGUCUUUAGUACAAGAAAACCUUUUGCUUAUCUAGUGGUUAGAAUAAGAUGCUUUCCUACGUGCAUCAUGUUUGGAUAAAUUUUUCAGUGGAUACUUUGAAUCAUUACUAAAGUGACAAAAACUUUAAAUCACGGAAAGCAAAUUUGAGUGGCUACAAUUAAAACAACAUAAAUGGUUUUAAUAAUUUCAGUUGCAAAAGGAACUACUGCCAACAAUUAAUUAAUACUAAAAAAUUUCGGUGGAAGUUGUGGGAAUUAAACAGUUUUUGUUUUGUUUUCGAGAACUGGCAAGGGAUUUAAACAGUUAAAGAAUAUGUUCUGUAAUUAUAUCAAUAGUGAGUAUCUUUUUUACAUUAUAUUAUACUCUCUCUAGAUUUUAAAUCUUGAUGUUUUAAGAUUUGUAUAUAUUAAUAAAAAUUAAAUAUUAUUUUAAUUUAUUAGUUUGUUUAAUUCCCAAUAAAUUUGUACCACUCAAAUUUUUAAAUUUUAAUUUAUGUUAUAAUUUUAAAAUAAAAUACAUUAACUAAAAUUAAAACUUCAAUAUUUUGCAUAGAUAAGUUAAAAAUUAAUCGCUUAUAGAUGGAGAGAUCACUAGAUUAAAGCCGCUGUUUAUCUUAUUUAGAGCCAUUUCUUACUUAAGAUUCGUAUUUUUAAUGUUAAGAAUAAAAAGCAUUCGGUGUUUAAUAGGAUUUUACUUUUUCAGUGGACAACGAUCCCACUAUAUAAAAGGGACUAUUUUUAAGCUUCCUAAAGCUAGCCACAUGCUCAAAAUAAUCAGGGCCAAUCAAAUUGCCACGUCACUGCCAGAUUAGGCUUCAAAUUAAAAUCACGAUCGGGCUUCCUGUGCGCUAACUCAUUCUCCGACUCCGUAUUUUUGUUUUGCGCCAUCAGCCGAAGUGAAGCCAAACUCAGAUAAUUAACUUUCACCCAGCCCAGCCCAUUAAUCCCAUCAAUCUGAUAAUUCACUUUAUCCCAGCCCAGCCCAUUAACCCUAAUCUACGUAUUGUUGAGACUCAAGCCAAAGCGCACACAGCUUUCUCAUCCUCUGAAUAACCUAAUCGCCGUCUCCCCCAUUUAUCUUUCUCUCAUGACGACCCAUCUCGAAGCCCAUUCCCGAGCCACUCUCUCAUAAGCAUAAUCCCGUGUUCUAAACAUCCCGUGUUAAAUUUUUUAAAACACUCAUAUCUUAGAAAUAGUUUAGAAAAUAUCUUUAUAUAAAUGUUUUUUUCUUGAAUAAUAUUUAAUUAUAAUUUUUUGUAUAUUUUUAACUUUUAUAAUUUUUUUUUUUUUUUUUUGUCGUCAACUUUACAGACUCAUAUAGACUCUGUAAACCAAGCCGGAAGAUAUUGAUCCAUGUGAACGACGAAAGACGGCUGAAUCCUAACACUGCGUGCUAGGCUAUCCGCCUUUGUAUUCUGCGCUCUUGGUACAUGGACGAUCUCUGAUUGUAGGAAACUUGCUCUCAGACUUUUGAUGUCUUCUAAAUAACUUGCAAACGCUGGCCACUCUUCUGGUUCCGAAACCAUCUUCACCAAUUGAGAACAAUCCGUUGCAAACGUAACCUGAGAUUGACGUAAAUUCCUCAUACAUUCCAUAGCCCAUAGUAGUGCUUCCAUCUCCGCAUGUAGAGGAGAAAGGCUAGCCCGAACAUUC